RNAcentral lists this ribosomal RNA (423 nucleotides) under uncultured bacterium. RNAcentral's name for it is "bacterial SSU rRNA". It matches the Rfam family "Bacterial small subunit ribosomal RNA", at positions 355 to 776 of the family's 1533-position model. The record is from RNAcentral.
UGAGGAAUAUUGGUCAAUGGGCGAGAGCCUGAACCAGCCAAGUCGCGUGAGGGAAGAAUGGUCUAUGGCCUGUAAACCUCUUUUGCCAGGGAAGAAUAAAAGGUACGUGUACCUUCUUGCCAGUACCUGACGAAUAAGCAUCGGCUAACUCCGUGCCAGCAGCCGCGGUAAUACGGGGGAUGCGAGCGUUAUCCGGAUUUAUUGGGUUUAAAGGGCGCGUAGGCGGGACGCCAAGUCAGCGGUAAAAGACUGCAGCUAAACUGUAGCACGCCGUUGAAACUGGCGACCUGGAGACGAGACGAGGGAGGCGGAACAAGUGAAGUAGCGGUGAAAUGCUUAGAUAUCACUUGGAACCCCGAUAGCGAAGGCAGCUUCCCAGGCUCGAUCUGACGCUGAUGCGCGAGAGCGUGGGUAGCGAACAGG